This 460-nucleotide ribosomal RNA is filed under the name uncultured bacterium. Its description in RNAcentral is "partial 16S ribosomal RNA". It matches the Rfam family "Bacterial small subunit ribosomal RNA", at positions 338 to 795 of the family's 1533-position model. The record is from RNAcentral.
CCUACGGGGAGCAGCAGUGAGGAAUAUUGGUCAAUGGUCGGGAGACUGAACCAGCCAAGCCGCGUGAGGGAGGAAGGUACAGAGUAUCGUAAACCUCUUUUGUCAGGGAACAAAGGCGGGGACGGGUCCCCGGAUGAGUGUAACUGAAGAAAAAGAAUCGGCUAACUCCGUGCCAGCAGCCGCGGUAAUACGGAGGAUGCGAGCCUUAUCCGGAUUGAUUGGGUUGAACGGGUGGGCAGGCGGUCGGGUAAGGUAGCGGUUAAAGGCCGGGGCUUCACCCCGGGCCCGCCGUUGAAACUGGCAGUCUCGAGUUGGAGAGAAGUAUGCGGAAUGCGCGGUGUAGCGGUGAAAUGCAUAGAUAUCGCGCAGAACUCCGAUUGCGAAGGCAGCAUGCCGGCUCCACACUGACGCUGAGGCACGAAAGCGUGGGUAUCGAACAGGAUUAGAUACCCGGGUAGUC